Molecule: ribosomal RNA, 509 nt
Filed under: uncultured bacterium
Lineage: Bacteria
Description: bacterial SSU rRNA
Rfam family: Bacterial small subunit ribosomal RNA
Source: RNAcentral
GAGUUUGAUCUUGGCUCAGAUUGAACGCUGGCGGCAGGCCUAACACAUGCAAGUCGGGCGGUAGAGAGAAGCUUGCUUCUCUUGAGAGCGGCGGACGGGUGAGUAAUGCCUAGGAAUCUGCCUGGUAGUGGGGGAUAACGCUCGGAAACGGACGCUAAUACCGCAUACGUCCUACGGGAGAAAGCAGGGGACCUUCGGGCCUUGCGCUAUCAGAUGAGCCUAGGUCGGAUUAGCUAGUUGGUGAGGUAAUGGCUCACCAAGGCGACGAUCCGUAACUGGUCUGAGAGGAUGAUCAGUCACACUGGAACUGAGACACGGUCCAGACUCCUACGGGAGGCAGCAGUGGGGAAUAUUGGACAAUGGGCGAAAGCCUGAUCCAGCCAUGCCGCGUGUGUGAAGAAGGUCUUCGGAUUGUAAAGCACUUUAAGUUGGGAGGAAGGGCAGUAAAUUAAUACUUUGCUGUUUUGACGUUACCGACAGAAUAAGCACGGCUAACUCUGUGCCAGCAG